GUUUAAAUCUGUCCGGCACAUUUUGCGGUCUGAGCAGGGUCACGUGGCCCUGCUCCGCACCAGGCAACCCCCCCCUCCCCGCUUUUACAACCUUGUUUGAUUUCUGCGACUUCAAGGCAGAGCCUCCAGAGCUCAUCCAGGCGCCCAGGAGAUGGUUGAUUUCUUCUCACCUUGAUCUUGGGACUACAGGUGUGAACCAUGGCUCCUGGCCUAGGACAGUGGCACGGUGGCUCAUGCCUGUAAUCUCAGCACUUUGGAGGCUGAGGCAGGUGGAUCUCUUGAGCCCAGGAGUUCAAGACCAGCCUGGACAACAUGGCAAAACCUCAUCUCUACAAAAAUACAAGAAUUAGCCAGGCAUGGUGGUGUGCACGUGCAGUCCCAACUACUCUGGAGGCUGAGGUGGGAGGAUUGCUUGAGCCUGGGAAGUUGAUGCUGUGGUGAGCCAAGAUUGUGCUACUGCACUCCAGCCUGGGUGACAGAGCAAGAGCCUGUCUCAAAAAAAAGAAAAGAACAGAAAAGAAAUAUUUAAAAAGAAGGUUAGACAGGCCAUGCCUUAAACUCAUAUGGAACCUCCACCCUGAGCAGGAAAGAGGGUGAGCAAUGGAUGGGUGCUGGGAGAAUGCUGGGAGGGCCUGUGGGCACUGGGAGGUACUGGGCAGAGGUACCCUUCUUUGCCCUCCACUCCAGCAUGAGGUUCCACGAUGCCUCUGGAGGGGUGAGGUUGGGAGGGGAGAGUGUAGUGGGGUGGGAGAGGCCCUGGUCCCCCACCUGCAGAAGAGGAGCAGGGGCCCUUGUUGAUCACAGUCCUGGGACACAGCACCUCAGCCUAAGGUCAGGACAUGCCCCUCUGGAGGACAGCUGUGCCACCGGAGAUGCAUUGCAUUGCAGCUGGACUAGGAGGGGGCCAGUCUGCAGUGAGGCGAGUGGCUGGGGUGUUGAGUGUGGGGGCAUUCCCUGAGAUUUUCAACGUCAUUUUCAUCUGCGUCUGAAUGUUCAGCAGCUCCCAGGGUGCUGACAUAUUAUUUCUCAAUCUGGGUGCUGAUCCCUCGGGGGUGUUUGUUUUGUGGCCGUUCACUGGGCUAUCCAGGAGCCGUCUGUGCACUCUUCUCUGUGGUUCUAUGCCUCACACACGGUGCGGGGACAGCAUCCACAGGUUGUCCUGGGCAGAGGAGAGGGGCUUCCUGGCGCACCAGGAGAGAAGGCACAGGGGCCUCUGGCAGCUGAGCCCUCAAGAAACAGUCAGGCCAUGCGACCCUUCCCCCAAGUGAGGUGCCCCUGGACCCACAGGUGUCGGUGUGGGGCGGCUCUGAUGGCAGCCAGCCCCCAUGGGACCUCUGAGUCACAGCCUCAGCCCACCUGUGCCUCAGAGUCACUCUUGACAGCCCCACAAACAAACUCUGUGUGAUAAGGGACAGGUCCUUGCUCCCCGCUCUGCUGAGGGAGGCGCCCGACCCGAGCCUUCCCCUCUGUCCUCUACAUGACACUUCUGCACUGGUAACUGAAUGGUAUCUUGCAAACAAGCACUUGUCCCCUUUCCAAGUCCUCCCACCACAUUCACGCAUUCGCCUUUCAAAGGCACAGCUGGGCUCUGGUCCUCGCUCAUGGGAGGAAACCCAGGGAAACCCACAAAGCCAAGGUCACGCAGAUGCCCAGCAAAGGCAGAGCCAGGGCCAAGCCCAGCCUUCACAUGCGUGGCCGCUUUCUCUCUGCCCAGCACAGGAGCUGCAGGAGAAGAGCCCUGGGGGACGGUGCCCCAGCCCACCCAUGCCCAGUGGGUGGGGCAGAUGUGGCUGCGGACCCCAGGCUCAGGAGCUUCUCACUGGCCAUCCUCGGAGGAGAAACCAGCCCUGCCUCACCCCAGGGCUAUGCACUCGUGCCCACUGUGCAAAGGCCAUGAAGCCUGCAGCAGCUGCAGCCAGGAGCCGACAGGUCAUGGGCAGUGCCCCAUUCGACUGGGACAGCUGGGCUCCCACCCCAGACUCCCUUCUCCCGCCAAGAGUUUCCCCACAGCAAGGACUGCCUUCCUCCUCUGAGCCAGCCAGGCAGCCACUAGCCCAGUCUGGCUGGGGACAGAGUCCUGGGUGGUCUAUUUCCCCGCCCUGUCCUUUUCUUCUCUCAGGCUGAGCCCAGUGCUGGGAUUGAGGAUAGGGAAUGGGCGCUCUUGAACUGCUGAUUGGCUGAUCCCUAUCACCCACCAGAAGCUGCAGGGGAAAGUGACAAGGGCAGCAGAUACCAGUACUCUCAGGAGUCCGUCCAGGACCUUCUGGACUUCAAAAUGCUUUCAAGCACUUACCUUCUCUGCAUCCCCAACAUGGAGCUGGCAAAUACAAAGCCAGGCUGGAGUGCAAUGGCGCGAUCUUGGCUUACCGCAACCUUCGCCUCCUGGGUUCAAGCAAUUCUCCCGCAGUAUCUGCUUAUAGGACCCAGUGCUCCCGGUGAGACCUCUCCAUUCCCUCUCCCUCCCUCCCUUUCUGCCUCACACCCUCUCUCUCUUCCUGUCCUUCUAUAUCUGAGUCGUGUUUGGUCUGUGAUGUCACCGCCCCCCUCCCUGUGGCUGCCAUUCAGAGCUGGCAAUAAUGAAUAGCGCCGGAUUCCCACUCACUGGGCUCCAGCAGCACUACAGAGACACCAAGCCCUUUGUUGCAAAUAAUUAAUUUGGUCCCAUGUUUCGUAACAUCCUAAAAAGCUUUCCGGGGCGAGCACCUGCCAGACACCGUGAUCUCAUCAAUACUGCAUCGCAUCGGACACAAUUGCUGUGUGCUUUCAUUAAAAAUUUAAUUUGUGGUUUAAA
Long non-coding RNA from Callithrix jacchus (white-tufted-ear marmoset), 2791 nucleotides. RefSeq lists it as uncharacterized. Lineage: Eukaryota; Metazoa; Chordata; Mammalia; Primates; Cebidae. The record is from RefSeq and is a predicted model, not a curated record.